CCUACGGGAGGCAGCAGUGAGGAAUAUUGGUCAAUGGGCGCGAGCCUGAUCCAGCCAAGUAGCGUGAAGGAUGCCUGCCCUACGGGUUGUAAACUUCUUUUAUAAAGGAAUAAAGUGAGGCACGUGUGCCUUUUUGUAUGUACUUUAUGAAUAAGGAUCGGCUAACUCCGUGCCAGCAGCCGCGGUAAUACGGAGGAUCCGAGCGUUAUCCGGAUUUAUUGGGUUUAAAGGGAGCGUAGAUGGGUUGUUAAGUCAGUUGUGAAAGUUUGCGGCUCAACCGUAAAAUUGCAAUUGAUACUGGCAGUCUUGAGUACAGUUGAGGUAGGCGGAAUUCGUGGUGUAGCGGUGAAAUGCUUAGAUAUCACGAAGAACUCCGAUUGCGAAGGCAGCUUACUAAACUGCCACUGACAUUGAUGCCCGAAAGUGUGGGUAUCAAACAGGAUUAGAUACCCUUGUAGUC
This 460-nucleotide ribosomal RNA is filed under the name uncultured bacterium. RNAcentral's name for it is "partial 16S ribosomal RNA". It matches the Rfam family "Bacterial small subunit ribosomal RNA", at positions 338 to 795 of the family's 1533-position model. The record is from RNAcentral.